Thamnophis sirtalis is the source of this 3046-nucleotide non-coding RNA. Lineage: Eukaryota; Metazoa; Chordata; Lepidosauria; Squamata; Natricidae. The record is from RefSeq and is a predicted model, not a curated record.
UCUGAUUUUCCACCGACAGCUGGUAGCAAUAAUACUAAGCUGGAUAGACCAGUGAUUGAACAUGGUCUGAAGCACUUCCCAUUCAGGGCUCAAGAAUGCAUAACAAGAGAAAUUUAACCCUAAAUUUUCCUAAGAAUGACAUCCAGAAGACCCUCAAGUAGGCCGAAUGUUUGUUUUUACAAGAUUUAAGCAGCAUUAUUUCCAAGAUUUUGAAAACAUAUUCAGUGAAACACAUGAAGGAGUCGAAGUGGUUGUGAGCAGCUACUGAGAAUGGAGCUGCGUUGGUUACCAAUUUUCUUCAGGAUGCACUUCAAGAUACUGGUUUUCACAUUUAAAUCCUUUCAUGGCUUGGGACCACGUUAUCUGAGGAACUAUCUCUUGCUGGUCACAUCUACCUGACUCACUAGAGUGAGGAAGCAAGGAAUAUUGUGUGUCCUGUCCCCUAAGGAGGUACAUCUGGCGGGACCCAGAAGAGGGGCCUUCUUCAUGGUGGCUCCCUCCCUCUGGAACAUUAUCCCUCCAGAAAUUAGACUGGCUUCCUCUCGGACAUUAUUUCAUAUGCCUCUAAAGACGCGAUUUUGCCAAAGGGCUUGGGGAACCUACAAUGGGUUGGAGCCCUAUAUAAAUGGUUGAUUUAAGUGUGUGUUGUCACCAAGGGAGUGUGGGAGUUAUUCUUUUAUUUUUUAUUUUUUUUAUUUUUUCCACAUUGUGUUUUUAUUAUCUGUAAGCCACCUAGAGUUGCUGUGAGUAGGCAGCUAUAUAGCUAUAUAGGCCAUAUAGUGAAUAGGCAGCGAAUAAAAAAAAUGAAAUAUCAAUUAUUUAAUUAUACCAAAUAGUAACCUAGCCAUUUUUAGAGCAAUAAGCCAUCUAGUUGUAUUUACCCAAAGUAAAAGUUUCUUUUUUUCUCUAUCUUUCUGGAAAGUCCAGAAGCAGUUUCUAAGUAAUUACAAAACAAUUUACAUUCUUGUUUCUUAAUUAGUGCAGUCAACUUCACCAUCUCCAUCAAUUCUAUUAUCUUUUCAACCCAUUCCUCCAUUGUAGAAGUUAAUGCUUCUUUCAAUUUCUGAGUAUAUAAAAUUCUAUUUCCCCCCCACUAUUUGUUUCUCUAAUAGUAUAGUCCUAACAGAAAUUUUCUGAUCUCCAUUUUUCUACAUUAAACCAUGGAUCUGUAUCCACUACCUUGUCAUAUAUCCACCACAUAUGAUAAAAAGUACCCUCUUUACACUUGCAUUUCUAACAAAUAUUUGAAACAUUCUUGUACAUCUUUGAAGGUUUAUAUAUUGCUAUAGAAAUGGCCAGUAGUUACCACAGGUACAUUAUUUUAUAGAAUGCUUACUAUUUUUCUGAUAGUAAAUCAAAACAUUGACUUUAGCAAAAGUAGAAGAGGCUGGAAGAUCCUUUUGUUGUAGUGAUUUUGCAAAAGUCAGUCAAUCUUGAGAACAUUCAAUAAUAUUCCCAAUCUUUUUUUAUUUAAGGAGUAUAGCUCUGAGGAUCACUGGAAAUUUUUGAGAAAUAAUUUUGUACUGUAAUAUUUUCAAUAUAGCUAAACAUCAAAAAUUAUUAUUUUUAAAGGCUUCAGGGAAAAACAGGUAUCUAAAAACUGCUGGCAACUUAUUUACUGUAAUGAAGACAGUCAAAGUUUGUAACAGUCCACUCUGAUUGUCAAAUCAACAGUUUUCGGUGAAGAUGGUCUACUCAUCACAUGACCAUGCAGAGAUUUGAAGGGUUUUUCUCCACUUUUUCAACUUAGUAACAGAACCAACCAACAUUCCUUUAGUUUAUACGACUCUCCUGGAUUAGGGAGUCCUAGAAUCAUCCCACAAAAUCUCCAUACAACAAAGGACUGAAAGUAACUUCAGGAACUGGGCUUUGGAGUGAGGGAUAAGCUGGCAGCUGCUGGUUCCGAAUUUAUUUUUCAAACAGACAAUAAGUUGUGGCUUUCAUUUCUUAAUCAUUUUUAAUAACUAUUAAUCUUUGUUAAGCUAAGAGAGGUUCUCUUUAGCCACUGCUUGUUAUUCCUUUUUGAAGAUCUGCAUCAUUUUGGAGAUUUCUUUAUUGUUAAAGGAGGAAGAGGGUUGCUGAAGGCAAGUUAAAAUAAGGAAAUAAGGAAGUAUCUUUAAAAAAAAACUUUAAUACAGAAAUUAAGGUAGAAAGCUGUGGUUUUAUUUUACUAUUUUUAAGUAAUUUGUAACUUGAUCUGUGGGUAGUUAAAACUCUUUGAUUUAUAGGAAUCCUUAUUGGGCAAUAAUUUUUAAGUGAUCUGCAGGAAAAAAAAAACCUCUUUAGCCAAAGAGAGUGUUAAGGGGGAGGAGCAAUUAUUAGAGAUGUAUUUGAAAAUUUUUAAAAUAAAGCUUACCCAUUUAUAGGCGAGCUAUGUUCCAGAGAUGUUAAAAAAAACUACUCCAACUACUUCAUAUAAGCAAUUAUGUAUAGAAAGCUACCAUAUCACUGAGGCAAUUUCACAAGUAUCUGAUAAUGCAAAGGACUCAAUUGCAAUUUUGGAACAUAAAUCUGACACCAAUCUUCAUUAUGAUGGUUUAAAUAUAAACCUCCCAACACAAUUAAAAGAAAUUCCAAGAAAAUCUGAAACUUUCAAGGAGAUAAGUCUGGGACUUUUUCUUCAUGGAUACUAACAAGGUUGAGAAAUCCUUGAGAAAAAGAGGUGGUUAUAAGAUAGAUAUUCGAUAGAUAUUCCAGAGAACAAAAAAUUUAUUUUAUGAAGGAAAGUUGAAAGGAGUGACUUAAACCUAAUGAGUUAACUGGAAUUAAGAUGUAUUUUUAUCAGUCUGAUAUAUGUACAGUAAUUGAAAGAAUGUUUUAAUAUAAAAUGGGGUUGAAAAUGCAUUUCUUUUUCUUUAUAUAUAAUGCUUAAGUAAUUCCUAAAGCUUGUAAAAUAUUAUUGAAAGGGUAUUUGAAAGUAUCUAAAUUAAGAGGAAGUUAAAAAGAUAUAUUCAUUUAAAGCAAAGUUUAGAAUCAUAAAAUGGGCACAUACAAGAAAAAAUAUUUUAUCUUAUGAGGAUAACGGUGAGAAUAAUUUAAAUUUAAG